RNAcentral lists this ribosomal RNA (319 nucleotides) under uncultured eukaryote. Its description in RNAcentral is "partial 18S ribosomal RNA". It matches the Rfam family "Eukaryotic small subunit ribosomal RNA", at positions 1470 to 1796 of the family's 1831-position model. The record is from RNAcentral.
CCCUUAGAUGUUCUGGGCAGCACGCGCGCUACAAUGGUCUUCGCAAACGGAUGCAUUCUCGAAGGAGAAUGCCAAUCUUGGAAUCUAUGCCUUGGUCGGGACAGUUGCUUGCAAUUUUUCGACUCGAACCAGGAAUUCCUUGUAAACGUGAUUCAUCACAUCACGAUGAAUACGUCCCUGCCCUUUGUACACACCGCCCGUCGCUCCUACCGAUCGAAGAGUUAGGUGAAUUGUUUUGAUCGAUAAGAUUUGACUAUGGUCAACUCUCGUUGUGAAAUUCUGUGAAUCUGACUGUUUAGAGGAAGGAAAAGUCGUAACA